UUACGGUUAUAUCAAGUUGAAACACCGGUUCUCGCUCGAUCAUCGAAGUUAAGCAACGUUAAACCUGGUCAGUACGUGGAUAGGUGACCACUGGGAAAUACAAUGGAGCUGUAAG
This is a non-coding RNA of Acanthosepion pharaonis, 115 nucleotides long. The record is from the annotation of a GenBank genome assembly. NCBI's taxonomy places the organism in Eukaryota, Metazoa, Mollusca, Cephalopoda, Sepiida, Sepiidae.